GAAAACUGUAGCGAAACGAAAACGUGUUGCGAGAGAAGAAUAUACCACAAAUACAGGAGAAAUACAUCCAGGUCGAAGAACAGGCCGUAACAGCAAGUGCAGAAGAAAAUGUUGUGAUGUGUUGAUGAUGAAGAAAAGGCAGCUGUUUUAUGUAAUUUCAAUGGUUUAGCUGUGAAAAAUAAGCAAGAUUUUUAUGUCUGUGGUCUGAUGUCUCCUAUGGUUGUUUUUCGUCAAAGGCUCCGCAUGGACAAAUGUUCCCAGAAAACCUUUACAAUGAAAUAUAAUCAUGACUUGAUGCUCCCAGGAGAUGCCGAACAUGCAAAGUGGAAGAGGCUGCACUGUAGAGAAUCCGUCAACAGGUACACAAAUGAUAGUCUGCUGAAGAUCUUUCCAUUGGAAUGCAGAACCUCACCCUGAAUUACAAAAGCAGGCAAAGUCCUGUGUGCAAAUUAUUUUUGUGUUACAUUGUGCUUAUGCAGAUAAUUUACUUGAAACUAAUUCAUAUUGUUAGCAACAAACACAGUAAAGAAGGGAAAAACAUACAAUGGGAAGUGAGUGCAAGAAUUCAAAGAUUUUUGAAUAGUCUUCUGCAAGAUGUUUGGUUUUCUAAUGACCAUAUUCAUUAUCAUGAAAUGAGAAGUAGGCCUAACAAUGACUCUUUUGUAGGGAAAUGUUUAUGGCAACCUUGUGUCAGAAAAGGUGCUAUAUUAACAGAAACUUUAAUUCAACUCUUUGCAACAAAGAUUUAGAAUAGAAUUACAACAUGUAUUGAAACAGUUUCCAAAUCAUUUAUGAAUAUACAAAUAAUUGACAGUAAGUUAGAAGUAUUCAGCUCAGUACAGACAUCUGUACAAAUUUUCUGUGCAUAACUUACGUAUCAGUAUUAAGAUUGUUUCAUAAUUUCAUAUUUAUUAGCACAGUUUAUAAAAUAUUUGCUAAUACCAUUCCAUUUAUCUAAACUCAGCAUCCCAUGCUGAUGGCACAGUGAUGGGAUCCCAACCCACUGUCAGACACCCCAAAGUAACACCAACACCUGAGUGAGGUUUAAGAAUAUAAGGUAUCUGUAUAUGAUGAUAAUUGUAAUAAUAUAGUAUAAUUGUGUGUAAAAAUAAUCCAUAAAUUUAGUGUAUUAAAAUAUCUGUGUGUAUUAACUACGUUGGUGUCCAAAUUUAAAGCAACUAACUGCUAUUACCUUGUCCUGUAUCUGAUUCACUGUAACCAUACAAACUGUCAACAAGCAUCUGGACAGUUGUGUUGUGCAUGGAAAACGGCAUUUCAGUCAACAGACAACCAUGACAACAAUUAUUACAGGGCAUCUUUCAAAUGGGGUAGUGUUUGCCAGGUAGUCCCAGAUCCACAUUCGCUGGGUACACAGUCAGAGACAGUGCAGUAUGGUACAGAGAAGGUGUCUACCAGACACUUUGCAGUGGAGGGCCGUAGGAAAAAUGGGAACUGGACAAUCGCAAACUGAUGUGGCCCGAUGGCUUAAUGUGAGUUGUUCUAUUGUUUCUCAGAUGUGGUGACAGUUUAUAUAGAGACUGACACUGUAUCCCAAAGACCAGAGCAGGGCCGGCCAUGUAUGAAAUCAGAAAGAGAGGACUGUUAUUUGGCUGUAAGGGUAUGAUGGUACCACCUUAGUACUGCAUGGCAGUUGGCAUCUGGCCUUGCAGCAUCCACAGGACAUGUAUCAAGGACAUGUUGUAUCAAGGCAAACUGUGUUCAGAAGGCAUUGGCAGAAGGGCCGUUACGUCAGAGACCUGCUGUAUGUGUACCUCUGUUGCAUCUUCACAGAAGGGGACAUCUAGAGUGGAAUCAACAUACCACCUGGAUAGUUGAAUAGUGGGCCAGUGCUCUUUUCACCAAUGAAUCCCAA
RNAcentral lists this long non-coding RNA (1873 nucleotides) under Schistocerca americana (American grasshopper). RNAcentral describes it as "uncharacterized LOC124613037, transcript variant X1". Lineage: Eukaryota; Metazoa; Arthropoda; Insecta; Orthoptera; Acrididae. The record is from RNAcentral.